GACGAACGCUGGCGGCGUGCUUAACACAUGCAAGUCGAACGGAAAGGCCCUGCUUUUGUGGGGUGCUCGAGUGGCGAACGGGUGAGUAACACGUGAGUAACCUGCCCUUGACUUUGGGAUAACUUCAGGAAACUGGGGCUAAUACCGGAUAGGAGCUCCUGCUGCAUGGUGGGGGUUGGAAAGUUUCGGCGGUUGGGGAUGGACUCGCGGCUUAUCAGCUUGUUGGUGGGGUAGUGGCUUACCAAGGCUUUGACGGGUAGCCGGCCUGAGAGGGUGACCGGCCACAUUGGGACUGAGAUACGGACCAGACUGCUACGGGAGGCAGCAGUGGGGAAUCUUGCACAAUGGGCGGAAGCCUGAUGCAGCAACGCCGCGUGCGGGAUGCCGGCCUUCGGGUUGUAAACCGCUUUCGACUGUGACGAAGCGUGCGUGACGGUAAUGGGUAAAGAAGCACCGGCUAACUACGUG
RNAcentral lists this ribosomal RNA (468 nucleotides) under uncultured bacterium. RNAcentral describes it as "partial 16S ribosomal RNA". It matches the Rfam family "Bacterial small subunit ribosomal RNA", at positions 28 to 507 of the family's 1533-position model. The record is from RNAcentral.